UUUUUUUUUGUUUCCUCUUAUUUUCCUAUUACCGACAAAAAUAAGCGAAAUGGAUAGGAGCCACGACCAUGAUGGUCGUGGAUCUGCCCCAAACCAUGAUAUAACUCAACAUAGCUUAGCAAAUUAAGUGAUGUCGACAAUAUCUCAUGUUCACUUUCACUUGAUAUUUUCCUUUUAAUCUUGCAUCUAAAAAAGUUUUUAACUUUUUCUAACAUAAAUUGGGAGGAUUAGUAUAAAUGAAUAAUGAACAACUCAAGGAAGAAGAAAAAAAGAAGGGAGAAACGUGCCAAAAAUAUUGGAAUGUGUAAGGAAAGGGGAAGGAGGCAGGCACCAUCAGCAUCCAUCAGCGAUCCCUCCAUCACUAUGAUUAGUGCUCUGCUCCUGGACGUCCGACCCAGUCUCCCUCCAAGUCUUCCCUGGCAUGGCCCACGUGUCGGUAGAUGGAUAGCUCCAUGGGCGGUCAAUUAAAGCCUACGGUUUGCUUAAAAAAAGAAUUUAAGCCUACGGUGUGCAAUGAAAUGCAAAAUAAAGGGAGGCGCAAGCUGCACAAGGGAAUGCGCACGUAAACACAAAGAAAGAAAGAAAUUUCGAUUCAAUUUGGGUAAAUUUUACUCCUUUUCCAAUGAGAUUUGUCCAAAUUUUAAUGAAGUAGAACAUGCUAUAACUUUUUUUUGUGCGACAACAGACUUUUCCUAGAAUAAUGCACGUCCAUACCUGGAGGCCGUGGAUAUAUUUGUGUUCAUGGGGCUUAAAGAAUUUCCAAUCUAAUUAGAAAAGAAAUGAAAUGAAAAUCUGCACAAGUGAAUAAUGUAUCUUCGGUGGUACAUGGUAAGAAAUGUAAUUGUUGCACGAAGAGUUUCUAGCCUAGUGGUUAGAGCACCUCAGUAGUACCCAACAGAUUCGGUUCGACUCCCCGUGGGAGCGAAUUAAACAAAUCUAGAAUAAAAAAAUUAUAUAAAAAAAUGGGUAGGUUCCCCUGCCAACUUUAGUCGAAAAAUAAAUGUAAUUGUGUGCGGAUUUCGACGGUGCACCUCCGACCCCCUAGGAUCUAUGGGAUGAUGAUAUCUCUGUGUCCAUGGCUUAAUUAAUUUCUAUUUUAUUAAAAAAAAUAAAAUGAAGAUCUGCACGAGAGAAUAAUGGUAUUCGAUGGGUGAUAAAGAAAUGUAAUUGUUGCAGAUUUCGACGGUGCACCUUAGAAUAAUAUAUCUUUGAUAAGCGAUAUGAAAUGUAAUUAUAUAUUGUGUAUUUCGAUGGUGCACCUACAGGCCUUGAGGAUCUAGGGGAUGCUAAUAUCUUUGUGUCGAUCCGUUCUGUCUACAAAGGAAACGAAAUGAAGAUCUGCACACGAGAGUAAUAUGUCUUUGAUAUGCGAUAAAAAAUGUAUGUUUUGCGGAUUUUGAUGGUGCGCCUCAGAAUAAUAUAUCUUCGAAAGCUGAUAAUGCUUUUCCAUUAUGUCUAGAAAAGAAAUGAAAUGAAGAUAUGUACAAGAGAACGAUAUAUCCUAAACAGGUGAUAAUAAGAAAUGUGAUUGUUCUGGAUUUCGACGGUGCACCUGUGGGCCUGAGGAUCUAGGUGCCGCCGCUAUCUUCGAGUCCAUUGUUUAAUGAAUCUCCAUUUUAUUUAGUAAAAAAUGAAAUGAAGAUAUGCAUGAGAGAAUAAUAUAUAUUCAUAGGUGAGAACAAAUAUAAUUGUUGCGGAUUUUGAUUAUAUAUGCCCCUAGAUCACGAUCUAUAGGGGCAGCUGAUAUCUUUUGUGUCUUGAAUUUCCAUUAUGUUCAGGAAAGAAAUGAACCAAGAUCUGCAUGAGAGAAUGUGUUAAGUUGAAGUGUGGUUUCAUAAAGUAUACUUUUCCUAUGUUCUAUAAAUAUUUUGUAACAAAAUAUACUAGUUACAAUUGUAAUUCGAAGACCUAUCAAUUUCCAAAACACCGAAUUUUGUAACGGGAAGGAUUAUCUUUGCAUUGUUUAAGUUUAACCAAGAUGUACAUUUCAAAAGGAAAGUAUAAACAUAUUAGAAAUGCUCUAAAACAACUGGUGCUUAUUACUCCCUCAUAAAUAUUAUUAUUAUGCAUCUAGACAUAGGAUAUAUCUAAGUGCAUAGCAAAAUGUAUGAAUUUAAAAAAACCAAAACAACCUAUAAUUUGGGAUAGAGAGAAUACAGUAUCAAGCUAUAAAUAUCCAAGCACAUGGUAAUCAUCUCUCACUCCUACAGUCUCAGUUUCAAGAGAAAGUAGAGCAUCUUCUUAGAAAGAAUAAUUAGUAUGAUCAAGCCAUCGAGUAACGAAGUACCAGUAGUACGUCGACGUGGUACUUCCGUACUACUAAUAGUGGAGUAUCAAGCAAUUCUAUUACCAUUCUCCUUUCUUAAUCUCCUUUUCACCAAUGGAAACAUGAGCACGAGACGCGGAACUAGUCAACAGCCCCAAAGCAUGGGCAGACGGCGAGGCAGCGACACCAUCAACAAACAAAACCAAUCUUUCCAAGGGCAAAAUCGUCACGCCAAUCACCUCUAAAAAAGAUUAAAAAAAUUCAAGCAAGAAAUAGAAAAGAAUUAUCGCUGGACCUGGACGACGAGUAGAGGACGGUGGCGGAGAAGAAGAAAGAGCCACUGAGCCAGCGAAGGAAGCAACAGAACGAAGACCGUCACCAACCAAGAGAGAGAAGCAGCAGCCGCGAGAAGAACACAGAAGCCAGCGAGAGAUCAUCAGAGGGAGGGGGAGAAAUUUGCAGGAAAAAAUUAGCAGCCUUCCCUCUGGAAUCUAGCUAAUUACUUUCCGGUCCUUCUCCCCCAUGUAAGUCUCCCCUCCCCGUCGCCUGCACCUACCGGAAGCGACGCCUCCUCCUGCGGUUCAGGUCCAUUCCUGAGUCGUCGCCGUCGGCUAUCUAGAUGGUGGCCGCUCGCCGGAGCACGGCCUCCACCGCCGCGCUCCUGCUACUCCUGCUCGCGGCUGCAGUCUCCAUCUCUUCUUCCGCCGAGUUGCACCGCAGCCAGGAGCAGGACAGAUCGGCGCUGCUCCAGCUCAAGAACGCCUUCCCUUCGGUGGAGCUGCUCCGGCGGUGGUCCCCGAACUCCGGCGGCGCCGACCACUGCACCUGGCCGGGGGUCACCUGCGACGCGAGGUCCCGGGUCGUCGCUCUGGAGGUGCCCUCCCCUUCACGGCGCUCCGUACCCGGCCGGGAGCUCGCUGGCGAGCUGCCCGCGGCGGUUGGGCUCCUCACCGAGCUGAAAGAGGUCUCUUUUCCGUUCCACGGCCUCCGCGGUGAGAUCCCCGGUGAGAUCUGGGGGUUGGAGAAGCUCGAGGUGGUCAACCUUUCGGGGAACUCUCUCCAGGGCGCCCUUCCGGCCGUCUUCCCGCCGCGGCUGAGAGUGCUCACCCUUGCUUCCAACCUGCUUCACGGUGAGAUCCCAUCUUCCCUUUCCACCUGCAAAGACUUGGAAAGGUUGGAUCUUUCAGGCAACCGGCUCACUGGAUCGGUGCCCGGAGCUCUUGGCGGCCUGCCCAAGCUUAAGUGGCUUGACCUGUCCGGAAAUCUUCUUGCCGGGAGUAUCCCCACUGGUCUGGGGAAUUGCGCGCAGCUCCUCUCACUGCGGUUGUUCUCGAAUUUGUUGAAUGGUUCUGUUCCAGCAGAGAUUGGAAGGCUGACCAAGCUGCGGGUUCUAGAUGUCUCGAGUAACAGAUUGAGCGGUCCUAUACCACAGGAGUUGGGUAAUUGCUCAGAUUUGUCGGUUCUUGUAUUGUCUAGCCAGUUCAAUUCAAUGAAUUCGCAUGAGCUCAAUCUGUUUGAAGGAGGGAUUCCAGAGAGUGUAACAGCUUUGCCGAGGCUCAGGGUGCUAUGGGCGCCGAGGGCUGGGCUGGAAGGAAAUGUGCCAACCAACUGGGGAAGGUGUCAUAGUUUGGAAAUGGUUAACCUUGGGGAGAAUUUAUUUUCUGGACCGAUCCCAAGGGAGCUAGGACAGUGCAGCAACCUCAAGUUUCUCAACCUUAGCUUGAAUAGAUUAUCUGGUUUGCUGGAUAAGGAUCUCUGUCCGCAUUGUAUGUCUGUGUUUGAUGUCAGCGGAAAUGAACUGUCAGGAUCAAUUCCAGCAUGUGUGAAUAAAGUCUGUGCAUCUCAGCUAAUGCUAGAUGAAAUGACAUCCAGUUAUUCUUCAGUCCUCAUGUCCAAAACUCUAGCAGAACUGCCAUUUAGUUUCUGCAACUCUGGACAGUGUUCUGUUGUGUAUCAUAAUUUUGCAAACAACAAUCUUGAAGGUCAUCUUACAUCCUUGCCGUUCAGUGCAGACAGGUUCGGAAACAAGAUGACAUAUGUGUUUGUUGUUGAUCACAAUAAAUUCAGUGGGUCAUUGGAUGCAAUUCUGUUGGAAAAGUGUAGCAUCUUGAAGGGACUGAUUGUAAGCUUCCGAGACAACAAGAUAUCUGGUCAGCUCACAGCAGAGUUUAGUACAAAAUGCACUGCUAUCAGAGCUUUGGAUUUAGCUGGCAACCAAAUAUCAGGAGUGAUGCCUGCUAAUGUUGGUUUGUUGGGAGCUCUUGUUAAGAUGGACAUGAGCAGAAAUUUUCUGGAGGGUCAGAUACCUGCCAGUUUCAAAGACUUCAAGAGCUUGAGAUUUCUCUCAUUGGCUGGGAACAACCUCAGUGGUAGAAUACCAUCCUGUUUGGGUCAGUUGAGAUCACUGAAGGUUUUAGAUCUCUCAUCUAAUUCUCUUGCUGGGAAGAUCCCAAGUAACCUUGUGACACUAAGAGAUCUCAGUGUGCUUCUACUUAACAAUAAUAGGCUCUCUGGAAACAUUCCUGAUCUUACCUCUUCUCCGUCGUUGUCCAUAUUCAAUGUUUCAUUCAAUGACUUGUCUGGGCCACUGCCUUCAAAAAUUCACUCACUGACGUGUGACAGUGUUCUUGGAAAUCCAUCCCUCCUACCUUGUGAAAUGUCAGCACUCUCCAAUCCAUUAGCGAAUGUCCGAGCUCUAACUGAGACUGACAAUAAUCCACCAGCUGACAAUACAGCCCCUGAUGGAAGUAGCAGUGGUGGCGGAUUCAGCAAAAUAGAGAUUGCCUCGAUAACUUCAGCAUCAGCAAUUGUUGCAGUUCUCCUGGCUCUGAUCAUCCUUUAUAUUUACACACGAAAAUGUGCAUCAAGACCGUCAAGACGUUCUCUCAGGAGAAGGGAAGUCACUGUUUUUGUUGAUAUUGGUGCUCCUUUGACAUAUGAGACUGUUUUACGUGCCAGUGGCAGCUUCAAUGCAAGUAAUUGCAUUGGAAGUGGUGGCUUCGGAGCAACGUACAAAGCUGAGGUCGCACCAGGAAAAUUGGUGGCAAUAAAGAGGCUUGCUAUUGGAAGAUUCCAAGGUAUUCAGCAAUUCCAAGCAGAGGUCAAAACACUUGGGAGGUGUCGCCAUCCAAAUCUUGUAACACUCAUAGGAUACCAUCUCAGCGAUAAUGAGAUGUUUCUAAUAUAUAAUUUUCUACCUGGUGGCAAUUUGGAAAGGUUCAUACAAGAAAGGAAUAAGAGACCAAUUGACUGGAGAAUGCUUCACAAAAUUGCUUUAGAUGUUGCACGUGCACUUGCAUACCUUCAUGACAACUGUGUCCCACGCAUCCUACACAGGGAUGUCAAACCAAGUAACAUCUUGCUUGACAAUGAUUACACCGCAUACCUUUCUGAUUUUGGAUUAGCAAGGCUGCUUGGAAAUUCGGAAACACACGCAACUACUGGUGUGGCAGGUACUUUUGGAUAUGUUGCUCCAGAGUAUGCAAUGACGUGCCGUGUUUCUGAUAAGGCAGAUGUGUAUAGCUAUGGAGUCGUACUUCUUGAACUUAUUUCAGACAAAAAGGCACUAGAUCCUUCUUUCUCUCCAUACGGGAAUGGAUUCAACAUAGUUGCCUGGGCUUGCAUGCUUCUACAGAAGGGCCGAGCUCGUGAGUUCUUCAUAGAAGGGCUGUGGGAUGUGGCUCCGCAUGAUGACCUUGUUGAGAUUCUACACCUGGGUAUCAAGUGUACAGUUGAUUCUCUUUCUUCUAGGCCCACAAUGAAGCAAGUUGUCCGACGACUAAAGGAACUCAGACCGCCAUCUUACUAGUAACAGCAAGCAGAGAUUGGCUUCCUUCUGUAAAUUAAGAGCAAGGUAAAUAAACUAUUUUUUUCUGUCCUUUUGCUUUGUUGGACUCAACCAAAUAGUGUUUUAUUCUGAUUAUGAUUUGUGUACUGAUAGUUCUUUAUAGAAAAAGUUAGAUCAUUCUGUUGCAUGUGAUUGUGUUUGAGAAAAGAACCACGGAUCUUAACAAAUACAAGUGUCCAUGUAUCUUCUUGUAUGAUAACUGUGCUCAUUUUGUCCCAUCGCCACGUACUUGCGUUGCCCUGUGGAUACUGUUUUCUGACAGAAAUUUGAUGUGCUCCCUGACCAUAUGAAAUUGCUCUUUGGGAUUGGAUUGAGUUCUGGUCGUAUUUACGUUUCAUUCAUGUUCUGAUCGAUAUCGAUAGUACUAAAUAUCAGCUAGCAAUUGGUAAAAUAAAAGGCCGAGUAGGUGUGAGCAAUUCCUUCUUGUUAACUUGGUCCGUGAAAAUAUCUGCUUGCUUGAGAACCGAGUGGUACAGCGCUGUUAGUGGAGCCUCCAGUUGAGAGGAUGCUCACCUGGGCUUGAACCUGGGUGCCUGCAUGUCCACAUAUAUCUCCCUGAGAACUUAUGUUUAGCAGGUUACCUGCCCAGCUAGGGUUUGGUAGACGCGUCCUAUAUGACAAAGCUGGGGGGGGGGGGGGGGGGGGGGGGGUCUUAUCCCUGUGGUCAAGUUUUUUUUAUUUAAAAAACAGCUGCUUGUUCCAUUGUAUGGCUACUCACUAUAUGGGUGCUUGUUUCCUGGAUACUUGACACAACAUCUGGUAGAGUGUCUGAGGGAUGAAGUGCAUGACUUGUAUUCUCGAUCAGAUGGUUCUUUAUUGCAGCUAGUUUGUCUUGUAGAAGAGCUAUAAGCAAUAUUUGAUUGUCAAUCGAUGAAAAUGCAAUUUUUUUAUAGUUCCACUUACUUUUUCUUAUGCAUUUUGUCGAUAAAUACCUUUAGAUGUUCUGAAUGUGCAUUUAUAGGGUUUUAGCAUCCGCUAUGUUGGUGUCAUCUUUAUCAUCAAAAUUUGAAAUGUUCUGUUUUUCGUAUGUAGGCUGUUGGCUGUUCUGGUGACUUGAACUACCAGUAAUGUUCAAAUGCCAUCUCUCAUGGGGCCCUCAAGCAGGACAUUCAAGCUGGUGGCAAACAAUUCAAAUGCCAUCUCUCAAGGGCCCUCAAGCGGGACAUUCAUGGUAUUUAAAUGUGGCCUUGGAUGCCACCUUAUGGGACACUGCUAUUCCUUCAAUGCCACUGCCAGCGAGAGGAAGUUCUGCCAUGCCUGCCAAAUAUGUAAGCAGCCUCUUCUGAUCUUCUCCCUACCUGCCUGCCGCGCUGCUGUUUCUUUUGGAAAAUUUCAUUCAUGUAUACUCGUCUAACCUGAGGACACCCUUUGUUGUAUCAUCGUUCCUGUACAAGAUGAGGCAUUACCCAGUUAACAGGAUGCAUUUAUAUACCUUGCCGGGCAAUUAAAUUGGCACAAUGCGCCUGGCUGCUCUCCUGACCGGGGAUCGAACACAAUGAGUCAGUGCUGGCCUUCUGGGCGACAUGUAAGAGGACUGGAUUAUCUGUCAGUGGACUGGAUACCUAUCAAUCAAAGCAAAACGGCAUCUGUCAAAUAACAGAUUAUCCGACUUCGCAUUUGUAAUUGUACAUUCCACUCUCUUGUCAUUCUAGUUCGUGUUGUGCAUCUGUCUUGUCAUUCUGUUCCUGAUGAAAAUGACCUGGAGGAAUUUUGCUUUGAUUAAUCAUUGAUGUAAACUGAAACGUGUAGGCUGGAAGAUAGUAGCAAAAGUGCAAAACAUUUUGAUGCUCGUAGUGUUUGUAGUAGCAGCAUAACUGAGAAUUGGCCUCCGUAGUGAGGCUGGAAUGCGAAUGGAAUAAAAAAAAGAUACUCACGCAACGACUCCGCUGGGGAUCGAACCCAGAAUCUCUGGUUCCGUAGACCAGCGCCUUAUCCAUUGGGCCACGGAGUCCUUCUUGUAGGGUCGUUAUCCCCAAUAACAAAAUACAAAUAUGUUCAGCAAAUCAGCGCUUUUGACCUUUUGUGAGGUCAGGCGCAUUUUUUGAACCUUUUUGUCAGGAUUUGGUUGGCUUGCAGGAUUUGUAUUAGCAGCAUAGCUACAGUGCCCAACCAGGCAACCAAAAAUGGAUUGGUUGGCUCUGGGGAGCCUGACUAGCCCUUAGAACGGGUAUCUGAAGAAUCCUGAACUACGUUCCUCUCCUGUGCUCUUGGUUAGUUGCCGCUAAAAUUGGUGCUCUUGGGUACCCUUUGUGUUUCCGGCCUUUUAUUUCUAUGCUGUUCGAAAUUAAAUGAGAAAAAGUCUCUAAUGUCUCUCUUUUGAUCCAUAUAGUUGUUCCUAGGCACCAGGUCUUUCGAUCCAUAUAGUUGUUUCUUCAGGCACCCAGGUUCAAACUCUCUACUAAGGUCAUGCUACUGUAAAAAUAAUUCGUACAUACCUCCAUUUAGGGAUAAACCUGCCGCAAAUUAAUUAUGCGGGUUAGUGGCUGUCCGCUGCCGCAAUGGUACUGCUCGCUAUUAUCCGGUGGACUCGGUGGGAGAUACGUAAAAACCCGCCAGGCCCGCAAAGCAUUUGUAGCUAGCUUACUUGCUCUUUAGCAGAUGAUAUAUAGCAUGCGGCGCUGGCUUGCUUGCCGCUACUGUGGCUUUACUUUUCCACUUAAAAGAAAAAUACAUUAUGAUCGUAUAGAACCAUGUUGAAAAUUUAACAUUACAAUUCUGGAUAGUCAGAUCAAUCAAACAAUUCUGGAUAUAUUACAUAGAUGAACUUGAACUAAUAGCUAUUUUCAGUACGUUCACUAGGUCAACUCAAUAUCUCAAUUCUUUCAGAAUAACUUGUACUAAAGAACCUUGCUCGACCAAGCACCAUCUUUCUUCGAUUCUGAAAAAUUCAAAACCAAAAUAUUCACCCAUUAGCUUCAAAGUAUACCUGCUGCUCAGUGCUAAACUAACACAUUCAAUCACUAUGGUCUUGAGACAUAAAGACGAAGCAAUGCAAAACAGAAAGUGACAAGUAAUUAGAACAGAGAAACAACAUCAAAUGAUAUUCCUACUGUCUGAGCAGAAAAAACAAAUGACAGGAGCUCCGUAGUUCUGAUUGCAUAAUAUGAAUAUAAAAUAUAAAUUCAGAACCAUGCCUCUUAAAGUUCAAAUAAAACUUAUGAUACCUUAUUCUGAACAAAAAUAGUGAUUUCAGUACUAGGCCAACAGUACUACUCUGAACAAGAUCAACAGCUAGCAAAACAUUGUACUGAUUUUCUCAGUUUUAUGAAUGGUUUGUUGCAGUUGCUGCUGGAAAAUAGCGCAGACAAAUAGCAUGGUGUUCAACACGAGUAGUCAUAGCUCACCAUGAAAAGAGUUUACUUCAUGCAGUGCCUUCAUAGUACCGAUCCUCGUUAUCGUCAAUAUCUUCUGCCAUCUUGAAGCUGGUAUAACCUGAAAUAAGAGGAAGCGAUGAACAUCCUUUAGCAUGACACAAUUACUUGAACAAGCAUAUCAUUAAGUACAAUUAACAGAAAUGUGUACCUUCUGCUCUCAACCAAUCCUGGAGGCAUAUUAAUGCUUCUAGAUUCUUGCUUGUCAGACUUCUAUACUCGCUAAUCACUCUCCCACCAGUAGAGAAUGCGGACAAUCAACUUGGUGGAAGAGGAGGAUGCGCCGGUUCUGGAGGCCUCGGGUGCCGCCCAGCGAGAAGGGGCGGAGACGACCUGCGCAGCGUGGCCGGCGCUAUGAGGACGGCGAGCCCGGGGGGGGGGGGCGCAACAGGGUGUGCAGGGUCGCGUGAGGAGAGGGGCGGAGUGCUAGGUCGGCACCGGAGGGACAGAUUAAUCACUUCGAUUCGGCUUGCAGAACGAGCUUCUAACUAGAAGCUACCCAAAACGGGUGCGGCAUAUCCGUCAUGUACCACAGCUCCAAAUUCUCAAGCUGAGCCGUGACGAACAGAGAACGGUACACAAUAUCAAUCAUGCAUGACGAUGAACGAACAAGACAACCAGCUGCGCACAACCACAACAUUUGACAAACGAAACGGGUUCAUUCACCGACUAGAAAUGUUUCAAAUAACAUUCGCAGAAGCUGAUGGAUAACUCGGUUUACCACUCAAAGAUUAUACUGUCACAGUUUUACCAAACUACUUAAAAUAAGGGGCCAGAUGUUCCACAAAACUGAUAACACGAAAGCACAGCUUCUCAGUACUUGAUCGGGGCAAGAAUCUCCAGCUGAGAUCCCAGCUUCUCCUCAGCAGUCUUCUCAGCCUUGACACGGAGCUUAGCCAGUUGCUUCCUCCUCUCAUAGGCAACCUUGGCCUUCUCCUUCCUCUUCUCCUCAAGCUCCUGAUUGAAGUUAAACACACAGGAGAAUGAGAUCAUCAACAAGCAGCAGUAACAAUUAAAAGAACAUCACAAGAACUACAAAAGCAAAACCUGAAACAAGAUCAAUUAAAACAACCAUGCAAAGUAUUUCUGUUAACAAACUCGUAUAAAUACAAUGGAUGCACAGAAUAAAUCAAGUAAUGGCCUCAGAGAUCUUGGUGGUUUAGGAUCAUCAAAUGGGAGCACCCAUCAAGAGUAGCAAAUAUUUUGAUCGCAUCACCGGCUCAUCACAACAUAACCAGGUAAAUACAUUUUCAGGGGUAAACUACAAAGAGAUGAUGGAAGUAAAUAUUCUGUUCAUAUACUCAAGCAAGAUUUGCAAUCAAGACUAUCAUAACAAAUGCACAAUCUAAGACAGAUGAAGAACAAACAAAACCUGAAACAGCAUGAUUGUCAGAAGUAGCUGGUUGUUGAAAUCAUAUUGAAUAAUCAAUGGGAAUCCGAUUGAUUUUCUUCAUCAUCCAGAAUCAUGCAAUUUCAAUACUCUAUUCUAAGAAUUCAAUAGCAAAAUUUUAUAAUUCUCAAGAUGGUCGUCACAAACAAAACUACAUCUACAAACACGCAAAUUAACAAACUCACAUUAGUCAAACAAGUGCAGACAUUUCAAAUCUAGAGCGAAAUUCCUUUAAAAUCAAGAUGCUACCAAGCUCAAACUAGCAACAUGCAUGUCAUGUAUCCAUGUCCAAACAUCACCACAUAAGAACAAGCACAUAGGCAGAAGCUUACCCUGAUGGUGUCGUGGUAGUUCCAUCCGACCUCCUUGGAGAGCUCCCCGAGAAGGCAGUACUUGUGCCCAGGCUGCAGCCUCAGAACCCUACAAACCACAACGGGGAAAUACCAUCAGACACAGAUCACAAUGCAAAAAUCACUCAGGAAUCAAGACGUGAUCUCUCGAUAGCGAAUGAAAAACACGUACUUGAGCGCGUCAGGGAUGACCAUGCGCUUGGUCCUGUCGUACGGCGGCGGGACACCCUCGUACGUCUUGAGCCUCGCCAGCGCAGCCUCUCCCCUCUUGGUCUUGUGCGGAAUCAUCCUGCAAAACCACAACAAGCAGAAAAUCUCACCUACAAAUUGAAAAAUGGGCACAUCAAAGCAGCGCCGGCGAACCGGCGACGGAUCCAGGAAGCUGCUCACGUACCCGCGGAUGGUGCGCCAGAGAAUCUUGGCGGGGGAGCGGAAGUGGAUGGGCCCGUGAGACGGCUUGGUGUUCAUCCUCUUGCGGAGGAAGCGGAGGUACUUCAUCUUCUGGCGGACGAGGCCGCCGGACAAGCAGAUCUCCUCGCAGCGGACCACCACGACCUUCUGGCCGUUGAGGAGCUCCUUGGCGAUGAUCGAGGACAGGCGGCCGAGCAUGUGGUGGCGCGCGUCCACCACGAUGCGCUUGGCGCAGACGCCGGAGCCGGACACCAUCGCGGCCUUACCUGUGAGGCGGCGGCGGCGGCGCGCUAGGGUUUGUAGUGGCUGGUGGAGGCGGAUGGAGUGCAGGCGCGGCGUAGGGUUUCUUAUUUAUAGAGGUCGACAAUUAGGGUUCAGUAUUGGGCCGGGCCGUGGCCUCUGUUUUGUUUCGGAGGCCCAAUGCACACGCUUCUAAAGGGCUGGCUGUCCGUGUCGCGUGGUGUCCUUUUUUUAACCUUUCUUUUAAUUCUCCGCUAGAAUUGUGCUCAAGUUCAUUUCCCAGUAUUAAAAAAACUUCUGUUCGAAAAUGAAUAAAAAACUGAGUUCGUAAAAUAAGUGAAUUAUGCUAACUUUGCAGAAUACAAUCCCAAAACACAUCUUUGUACGUAUAAAUACGGUUUAUUGACAAGAACCGUUGUACGUUUAAAAGUUAUAUAUAUACUCCCUCAGUGUCAAAUAGGUCGUUUUGACUUUUCUAGGUGUAUAGAUGUUUAUGUGCAUUUAAAUAUAUACUUAUAUUUAGAUGCAUACAAAUAUUUAUAAACCUAGAAAAGUCAAACCAACCUACAAUUUGAAAUGGGUGGAGUAUCACUACGAUGAAGCGCUGAAGCCUGCGUUCUCCAUGCAUCGGCAGUCAACAGAGAAAUGUGGGUAGCAAGAGCUGCAUCACAUGCAGAUCUGGCCAGUUCACCUUAGAACAGGGCUCGCCAUUGCCGGGCUGCUGGCCUGAUCGCUCCGUGCUCGGUUCAUUCGUUCCUAGCAGAAUCUGUGGCAUUUUGAGCAGCUGAAACUGAAAGCUGUCGCCUUCUUGGGUCCGACUCUGAUGGACUGGGCGAUGCCUAAUGCCUUCCAGCCACAUCUACCGUUUCGUUGUGGAGCUCUCAUUCUCAACAGCGUGCUGCAUCGCCACCGUCAUUGAUGUGACCAUCCAUUCGGAUAUUAUCCUUGCUCAAAAUCCUAACCAGGUUACGAAUACUUUCUCAAUUAAAUUUGAUUCCUUAUCUUUUGGUAAUGAACAUGGGGAGAAGUCGAAGAAUAAAGUUCAAGCUAUAGCCGUGCCAUGCAAUAUGGUAUUUAUUGGAUCUAAUAUUUGCAAGAAGCAUCGAGAGAAGAAAUCAAAGCCAAUUGUUCAAAUUGGAUCCAUGUUGUUGAAGAUCGAUUAGUUAACAAGGUCACUAGCAAUGUGGCCGGAUUAUUUUAUAUUAUUUCUAAAUGUGAGUUGCUAGCUUGUUUUGCUGGAAUCCAGGUUUGUUUCGUCAGGUGUUUUACUUGAGUCUGGGAUUCCGGGUCAGUUUGAUCUUUUUUGUUUUGAGUCAGAUUUGAGUUCGGUUUAUGCCAGGGCCAACUGAGUCCUAGCUGGUGCUUGCGUGCACUUUUAAUUGGCCAGGAGCCGGUCUUGUGGCCUCAGACUUGGUUUUAUUUUGGGGGAGUUUUUUCUUUGUUGUCGGGCACUGCUCCAGAGAAGAUGGCGAUCCCAUCUGCUAUCUGAAGUCGAUCCAAUUUUGGAUUGUGAAGAAACGCGAUCAAAUUGUGUAUAAUCUGGGUACGUUUGAAUUCUGUGAGUUCCUCCUCUUUGGUCGUGGCUGCUUUUGUCCACAGGUGAAGAGUCGCCAACAGUUAAUCUAAUUACCCUAGUUCUAGUUGGUUCUAUCUAAUGUUGUUCUGAUUAGUUCCGCUGCUAUUGUUCAUUGUUUAAUCAAAUUAGUCUGUGAUCUAUUUGGCUGAUGAUUUGGAAAGUGAAGAUUGUAUCGUGAAAGUGAGGGAAAAUUAGUGCAUCGCCGCCGGUGCCCUUCAGCCAUCCUGCUUCGCCGCGCCCUCGAGCUCCGAGAAGUCCACCGGGAUGUUGAUUUGCGGCCGGACUUCGAGCUUCGAGUACGCCACAUUUGACUGUCUUUUGAUGAAUGAUCAAGAAUGAGGAUUGAAGAAACUGACUUGCUUGUGGUUCUGAAGUCUUCAUUGGAGGGACAGAGAUUUUACAUCCUUGAGAAGUCUAAUCUUAGUGCUUCUGCUGUCAGUAUGGUUUGAACGGACUCAUUUUCCAUUUUCAAGAACAAGAAGGUGUGCAACACAUGCCACGGUAACAAGCAAAACGUGCUCAGAGUUACUGGUGGGAAAGCAGGGAAAACGUGAAGACGCUGUAUGAGCGCUAAAUUAAUGAAACACGAGAAAAAAUGGAAAUUUAGUUUAAAAAUGUGGUAAUUUAGCAAAAAAAAGUGUAGCUUAGCUCAUUUUUACUGACACUUGGUACGAUUUCUUAAGAUUUUUAUGGCUCUAGCUUUGUUCCUUUUUUUUCCCAAUGGUCACAACGGAAAUUACCCAUGUCGUGUGCCACUACGGAAAUUAAAAUAACUAAAGUAACUCCUUGUAUUUGCAUCCAAUGGUCACAAACUCCUUUUGAAGCAAUUACUCCCAAGUUCACAAUCCAAAUGCUACCCAUAUCUCUACAUACAAAGAGUUGUUAAAUCCUCGAUCACUCCAUGCACAAUCCAUCCAUUUUUUGCAUAAUUUGUUGCAUUGGAAAAUUCAUCUUCCUUCUAUGCGCCCCGAAGCUGUCACCUUCGGUUUUUCAGCUGCCCAUAGUUUGAUUCGUCAGAAUUGGAAGUGUCAAAUGCAUUCUCCUCUCUGCUCCCCGGAUUCCGGACUCAACUUUCAUCCAUGCCUUCUUGUCACAUUGUCGAACUCCUAACAGUGUGGACUGCCGCCAAUGUCAGCCACUCAGUCCUGCUCGAUUCCUUCCUGUUCCUUGAGCUCGGAGAAGUCCACGAGGAUACUGUUUUCAGCGGCGAUCUCCUUGGUCACCUUCUUCUUCAGCUCCAUGUCUGUCUUGUCGCCGGACAACUUCCACACCAGCUGCAACGGUAGCACGAACCAACCCCGUAAACGUCAGGAAUCCCCCUUUCUAGUUCCAAAUCAAUGAGAUGUGUGCCGUAUCUGCACAAGAUCAUGCUACUUACCAUGGGAUCGACAAUGCCGGCUCCCUCCUUCGCCGCCGCAGCGAAGUCGCCGCCGAACUUGUCUUCUAGGAUGGCGCGCGCGAGCAGGAGCUCCGGCAGAUCGCCGCACCACCUGGCUGCAAACGUGAUCCCGGCAGCCGCCUCCAUUGUUUCCUCGCUGCACUCCCUGCACACCAAUAAGCACAAUAGUCACGCAACCGAAAAACAUGCGAGAAACAAAUUGGACAAGAGAUCAUCAGGUCAAAUACUUGAAGCUAAGAUGUUCAGUGUUCUGCACGUACUGUGGCUUGUCUAACUGCUUGGCAUGCUCAAUGAGUCGCUUGCAGUGGAGCUCAAUGAUCUCGAACGCCUGCAGCAUGUUGUCUUCCUCUAUGACCUGCUCUGCCUGCACGGGGAAAUUAAAGAUGCAUUGCAGCCGUCAGUGCUCUCGCAUCGGCAGAGUAUGACGUCCUCACAGCUGAUGUGUAUGUAGAGGUUAAAGGUUCGUACGCGAAGGAGAGCUCGGUGGAGGUGGCCGAGGGAGAGGAGCUGGCCGACAUCGCCGCGGCAGAUUGACCUGCGAGCGAGGCGGGGGCGGCGGGCAACGGCGAGGCGCGACAAGGCGAGCUCGAGAAGCUUCUUAAGCCUGGACGUCUGCUUGGAGGUCUUCCCGUGGAAGAAUCCCAUGGCUGAUCGCUGGUCUUGUAUGCAAAGUAAACACUGUUCAGCUAAUCAGCUUUCCUGUUGGUCUUUUGCUCGAUGGAGAGGAAUGGCCGAACAGGAACAAGCUUGGUUGCUUGUGGAUUGAUCUGAAGUCUGCAAUGGGGGGUUAAAGAUUUUAUAGGGACGUGCCAGUAAGCCUUGAGGGAUCCAAUUUUAGCGUUUCUGCUGUCAGCUCAGUCUAAAAUGAGCUCGUUUUGCAUUUGCAAGUUCAGAGCCGUGUCGCAAAACGUGCCUGAAGAAAGGGUGAGAAGCUAAACGUGCGCAAAGUUACUGGUGGUAAAACGAACAAAACGUGCAAAGGAUUUAACCAAGGACAAAUCAACUGGAGCAUGCAAAAAACAUCGUGGUUUAGCGCUUUAGCUAGCUGUAUAAGCUGUGCUUUGCUCAGCUCAUUUUUACUGUCAGGUGGAUAAAAGCUGAGAUAUUUGCACGCCCGGUUUUCAUUAUCUUUUUUUUUUCCUUUUAUCCAGUGGCCACAACGAAAAUUCUGGCAGAAUGGAUGAGCAAGCAACUAAUUCUGCAUCAUUGAUAGUUUAGCUAUUGGGAACGGUAACAGACACAAAAGAAAAAUGGAAGACAAGUGAAUAAACAUUGCAAGCAGUUCGAGACAAUAAACUCUGCCACACCAUUCAUUCAUUUGGUACAUUUCAUAGAGCCUACAGGCUACAGUUAAACUGGUACAACAAAAAACUCUGUAAUCCUCAAUACAGGGAUACAAGCAAACUGGCACUCCUCAAAGAAGACCACAACAUACAAGUUUAAGAACUUGAUCCCUGACCAUGUAUCACUACUGGACUCCCAGGAAUAGGGGAGUUCAAGCACAACAUGUCAAGGGAGAGUGCCCUUUAUCGGCAAUCUGAGCAUAGAAAUUCCAAUGGGGAUCACAUUCGGUGAUGAAGGGUUGACCAAAUGGAUUAUUACGAACAAAACACUCAACAUCAUCUGCAGCAGCUAGAUUCUGCAGAUACAUGCGAAGGUCUCCACCAGGACCUGCUUAUUGGGAAUUGAAAUUUAAAGCAUGAAUAAGUUGUCAUAAGAUAGAGGUAGAGCUGCAAUAGUGAUGAGCACAUACCCAGUGAAUUGUCAUUCCAGUUCAGAUAACUGUAGGAGCGAGGGAAAAUUGCAGUAUGUGGCUGCACAAGAUAGACAGAAAAAGAGCGUGUGAGAUUUGCAGUGUAAGUAAUGUACUGAAAAUUGGUGUAUAGAAGAGGCUGGAGAAGUACAGGAUUGCGCAGAGCUUUGUAAGGAGAAUCAUCCACAAGUAAUGUAUUUGAAGCUGAAUAGUCUCCCUCUUCCCAUGGAAGAUCAGGUUCUUCCUUAUUCCACAAUUUCCUCAGUUCCUUCAGAACUAAUGGUUUGUGCAUGUUCUCCAGUGUUUUAUGUCCAGUAAAUGUGCAUUUAGACAUGUCCUGCGCAUAUUAAGGCCAUAAACAUGCUAGGAGCAAGCAAAGAAAAAUUCAGAAGAGAACAAACAUGUGUUAAUUAGACCUACCCAACAAAAUAGCAGGCGUGGUUUGAAAUCUCUCAUAACGAUAUUAACAACCGAAGCGACAUUUUCUCUGGAGAAAUUUUAGUGCCAAAAUAAGUACCAAGUGGAACAAAAUAGGAAAGCCAAAAUGGAGAAAGAUGAGAAGAGGUCAUACUUUUUUCUUGAAGACCAUACACCUAGCUCGAAAUUCAGGGCGCAGAAGUUGAGAAAAUCAUCACAGUAAGGCCUUCGGAAAACUGAUAAAAAAGGUAUAUCAUCAUAUAUCAACAUCUUCUGUCACAUUCUAGAUCACCAUUGUCGUAAAAUAAUAAUUAUAGGCGACAAGACUAGAAACUGAACCUAAUUUUCCUCGAACCUUGGCAUCAGCCAUGUGAGCAUUGUGGUAGUCAUCAUUGAUAUCCGCAAGUAAACCAUUAAGAUCUAAGAUGAGAAGCUUUUUCUUCGGAAACCCUAAGGACCGUCCUGGUGAAAAGAAAAGAUUGAGCUUUUCCAUAUAUGCCUCAGCAAAAUGGGAAGUGCUCAGAUAGUUAGCAUUGUGAUCGUUUGAUGAACAUAGUACAUCUUGCUCUUGCAGACCAUUUCUCUCCAUAUUUGUGUAGUCCAAACUACUCUUUCCCAGUUCACUCCUCUUUUCAAAGGUGCUGUCCAAAUUACUAGUUCCCAGUUCACACCUCUUUUCAGUGGCACGGUUCAAAUUUACACCAUACGCUUCUGAUCUCUCUGCAUUAUCCAGUGGAACUAAGUUAGUCAUGGCUACUUUGUUCUGAUUUUGAUUCUCCCUUUGUUCCUUGGGUUCAAGACAUGAAGUAGUGUUCUCAGAAACGACUGCCAUCAAACCAGAAUUAUCAGCAGCGGUUGGCAAUAGAGAAUCCUGUGAAGUAGAUCUUUUGCGACGAUUGUGCCUUUUUCCGCCUCUUUUUCUCCUCUUCUUUUUCUCUAAACUGCUGGAGUUGAUAGAAGCUCCAUUUUCAUUUUCCUUAUAUUCUUCUGACUUCUGCAAAGAGCUACAGCCAGUACAUAUUCUUUUCUGGUAUACUUCGUCCAGGUUCCCUGACAAGUCGGUACUCUUCAGCUCUGGAAAGUUUGAGUCCUUAUUGUAAUAAUCAGAUCCUUGUGCAGUGCAAUUAUCAAUUGGGAAUCUUACAUCAGAUCUCUUAUAUAACUUGCUCCUUGAGGCUUCAAUUUGUCCAACAGAAUGUUCAUGGCGGGCAAGACAAGAGCAGGCAGCACCAUCCGCAGCAGAAACUUUUAGCACCUUAUUUCCAGCCUGAAAAUCUCUCUUUCUUGUUUUAUUUGAGUUCAUUAUCGACUCGGUUGUAGUCUGCAGCACACUAUCGCCCAAAUGUGCUGCCACUGUUUCCACAUGGCAACUUGCUUGCGUUGCAGAACCUGCUUGAGUGGAAACGGCAUCUGCCAGACAAUUAGCCGUGUCAUGCAGGUCUCCUUAACUAUCAGUGCAUUUAUUUAGUGUAAGCUAACUUUAACUUCUCAUACCAAAAUCAAACUCAAGAGGUAUAAAAUGCAACAAAAUGGUACCCUUGCCUAUAUUUUUCUGAUAAAAAUGGCUGAAACAUGAAAGUUGCACCCUUUCACAAAUGCUGACCAGAUAUCUAAAAUGAAUCGAAGUGAUCGUAUAAUAAGCGUGAAGAAACAAUUUCCGAACAUUUGGGAGCAUAAAAUCUACCAGGUGGCAAUACCACAGUCCACACAAUCGAAUGAUAUGGCAGACUGGUACACAUGAAAGCGUCGCGGCGUUGGAAAAUGCAUGCACAAGGGCACAAACACAAAAAAUGGGUACACAAGUAAAUACUCGCAUUAAGUGCAGAUUUUACUUUCUGGCGAGGAGAGGCACCCUGAAAACGUAUUUCCCCGGAUUCCAUCAUCAAGUCGCAACGGAAUUACUACAGCCCGCAUCAACGAUUGCCUUGAUGACAUGACAAACGAGGCGUGAAGCUAGCCCAGCAGCAGUCAAGGAACCAUGAAACCUAUCCAUGGCGCGGCGCGGCACGUCACGCGAAGCAAAGGCAGUGGCGAUGUACUACCUGAAACGGGGGCUUCCGCCUUCUCCUCCUCCGCCGCCGCCUCGUCCGCCGCGGCCGCGCCAGCACUACUCCGAUCACGCCGCCUGCGAGGCCGCCGCCGGUUCCUGCGCCUAGCCGGCGUGGCGGCGCCGGGCGCAGUCACCGGGGCUGUCGUUGUGACCGCUGCGCUUCCCCCCUCCACGGCCACCACGUCCGCCGCGUUCCCCCCACCCCCACGCCGCCGCCGCCUCCGUCGGCGGUCCCGGCGCCUCGCCGGGGGCUGGUCCAUCCGGAUCUGGCUCCCGGAGCAGGCCCAGAAAAGGAAAGGAUUGCGAGCGGGGGGAGAGGGGCGGCGUGCCCGGCUUCUGUCUGGGCGCAACUGCAAGGGAGAGCCGGAGAGGCAUGACGCGUUAAAGAGCCUCUCGUGCUCCACCAGCCGUGCGUAGUGUACGAGCUGCGCGAAGCCGGGGCGCCGGGCAGAGGUUUUCGGUUGGGUUCUUGGCGUGUCCCACUGUCUGUCACAACACGAGACACGGUUAACCGUGGGCCUUAUUCCUUUUCUCUCUCGAGAUGUGUAUCCCUAUUUCGGAUCGUGAGAACCAUUGUUUCUAUCUUGGAGUUCAAGUUUCUCUAAUUUAGUUGUAGUUUGAGAGGAGGAACCUGUCAUAUUGAUGUUUUUCGAGAGUUUUGUGCUUGCUAACAAGAAGGUAGCCAGGUAGGAGAUACAAGUGUAGAUAGUUGAUAUGUUGUUAACCGAUAAAUUAUUUCCACGAAUAAGGAAGAUCCCAUCGUAACGUACUGUAGGAGUGAUAUGUUGUAAAAAAAACUGACAAAUGGAUUACAUAAACAAGAAAAAAAAUUCAAUUAUAACGUACUACAAUUAGUCAACAUGUUGUUAACGAAACCGACAAAUGAUUUUCAUGAACAGGAAAAAUCCAAAAUUCCAAUAGCAACAUAAAUGAUAGAAAAGGAUGAGAGAACAACAUGACAAGUAACUCGAUCUCUAUCGAGGUUGGGGGCAAUGUCAUUGUAUUAGCGACGAGAAUAAAAGAAGGAAAGCAAAUGUACAUGUACUUAUGUACUUAGUAGAUUAGAAGCAUCUCUAUCUCUUGUGAAGUACUUCUAUGAUCAUAAAUCCUUUGAACACGAAUAUAAAUCCACGAGGACAUCAAUAUGUUCUCAAAUAGUAUGCCCCUGUUUAACUUGCAAUACCUAUGAAAAUGGGUUAUCUUUCUUACUAAUAGAAAGACUUGCAGAUUAGUUUGAACUUGAUUAUGCCAAUUUUUUUGUGAUAAACUGUGACGCACUGGAUAUUGUACCUCCAAGAAGGUAAGAAUUAGCAAGAAAACAAUGCCUAAUACAGGUGGUGCAAGCCGAGAUUUUACAAUGAAAACCUCAUAACGCUUCGUCACCUUGCAUAUUUGCCACUAAUGAUCUUUUGCUCCAUCAUAGUAUCAUUUGGGUUUGAUUGGGAACUACUACCUCAUCAUUUUUAUUCGACCGUUUGGACAUCCUACAAUCUCAAAUUGAUGACUUUUACCAGCACUUUCUCUAAGCAUUUUUUGUUGAAAUUUAUAGAAGAUGUAGUUGAAAGUACGUACCUUUUUCAUGUCAUACAAAUCCUAAUACAUUUGUGAGUUGGUGGCUAAAUUUUAUAAAGUUUGACUUGACACACGUCCCUCAUCUAUUCGAGAACGGAGCAAAAAAAAAAAAAACUCACUACAGUGCAGCAGUAAGAUAUUAACACAGCAUAAGCGCAAACUCCUGCAACAUUCUGUAGCAUCGUGUGACAUCUAAAACGUUUUCGUGUGAUUCGCAGUGGCAUACGUCAGGAUCAGGGUUACAUAUAAUUCAGUGGGAUUCGUCAAGUUGUGCCCGACUAACACUGAAGGGUGAAGGGGGCAGGACACCUAACAGUGCAAAGGGCUAUUGCCCAUUGCUGCUGGCUUCGGCUUCUAUUUCGGACGCCUCGCUGAUGCUGCUGGUGGCCUCAAACUUGGGCCCUUGCAGCUGCCUCUUCACCAAGGCGGUGUAGAUGCCGUCACGGGCGAGGAGCUCGUCGUGCGUGCCGCUCUCCACAAUUUGGCCGUCGGAGAUGACGGCCACGGUGUCGGCGCUCUUGACGGUGGAGAGCCGGUGAGCUAUCACAAGAACGGUUCUUCCUUUCAUCAACGAGUCCAUUGCAUCCUGUGACAAGUAGGGAAAAAACUUUCAUAUUCGAUACCAGAGGCAUUGCAGUAAGGGUGCUGUUUGUUUCGGGCUCGCAUCAGCAGUUCAGGAGAUGAGGAUUCGUGCUUGCCUGGACAAGAUAUUCGCUCUCAGCAUCCAGGGCACUGGUGGCUUCAUCUAGGAGAAGCACUCGUGGGUUCAUAAGCAAAGCUCUCGCGAUGGCAAUCCUCUGCUUCUGCCCGCCAGAUAAUCUGAUCCCUCGCUCGCCAACGACGGUCUUGUAUUGGUCAGGGAAGCUGCAGAUGAAGUUGUGUGCAUUCGCCAUUUUCUGCAUCAGAAAGAUGGUUGAUAAGGAUGUACAAUCCUGCAGUCAUGCACUAGUGUUUCUGAAUGCAGAUACUUACAGCUGCGCUCUCGACGUCAGCAAAGUUAGUUUUUCCCUCUAAUCCAUAAGCAAUGUUCUCUUCGAUGGUGCAGUUAAAGAGUGUAGGCUCCUGACUGACUAUGCUUACCUAAAUCAGUCAGUAAAAAUAUGAAAUCAGUCUAAAAGAACAUGAAUGGAAUAUUGAAUUUUUUAAAAGAAGAAACAAUAAGUAUGGAAUUUUGGCUGUCAAAAUAGGUUUAGAUGGGUAGAUUGUUUGCUUUUAAGUGCCCAUUACAAGUUGAAUUUUGAAAAGCUGCUGAUAAUGCUGGUUCGAGUGAUGAACCAAAGUCUAGUUUCACAUUCUCCAGUUCACCAAACUUCAUACCAGCGCUAUUUCAAAUUAUCAUUUAAAUUAGCCAGAACUACUGGAUUCACCAGAGUCCAGGCUGUUAGGUAGAACAGCUAAUUAGAAUUUUGGUACAAAUGAAAGGAUCUAACUAGCAUAUAGACAGGUCAGGACAAUAUUCUACUAUCAGUCACCAGUAAUGUGAACGUUGCAACAUUAUCCUAGCUUAGAUAAUAUAAUCUUUUCCACUGUAUGACUUCAAAUAAUCAUUCCCACAUGACAAAUAGUUGCAUGACAUUGACAUACCUUGUUAUGAAGAUAUUGGUGUGAAAUUUCUACCAAUGGCACUCUGUUAAGCAAGAUCCUUCCCUUUAGAGGGUCAUAAAACCGUUCGAUCAAAUUUGCUAUCGUGGUCUGCAAAAGUUAAUGUUGUAAUUGAGGCUGCAGUUUGAGAACACUUUACUUUAAGACAAAGCGUGUCAUGUAAUUAGCACAUGGAAAAAAAAAUCUUACUUUACCACCACCACUUGGCCCGACAAGUGCGACCUUUGAACCCGGUGCUAACUUCAAUGUUAUCCCCUGCAAUAUUGUUAACAGCAGGCAUAAGCUUAACUAUAAUGCUCACCAUGCAAGUACUAGACGAAAAGUGUGUUUCAUGAUAUUGAUAAAGCUCGUAAAUGACUUUAUAAUGUACCCUGUUAUGAAACAUGUAGGCCUUAUUUUACAGGUUGUAGAAUCUAAUUAUGUCACAAACUGGCCACUAGCACAACAAAGAUGGUUCAAGCUGGCGAAUAACAUUGAUGUGUCUGACAAGGGGGCCCAUGCCCUCAUCACUGCUAGCUUCACAUUGGAUCUCCUUUAAUUAAUAAUUUACGCUUAAACCAAUGAUGAAAUCCCCACACAUGUCAUUCUAAAAAAUCCCAUAUGAAUCAAUCAAAGAGCAGUGGCUUUUUCAAAACAAAAACUAAGUUCCAACUCGUCAACGUUGUAAUGUUAAGUCAUGUAUGUCACUGCAUUUUUUUUCUUUUUGGAAUAAGAAGGGCCAGAGCCUGCAUCCCUAAUUAAAGUAGAUAGACUAAUAUAAGAGUCCGAAACAGGCUUGGCACUGGUCAGCACGGCAGCACCAACUGUGCUCACAAAAGAGCAAUCACCUGCUCACCUUGGAUCACAGAGGAACUAAUUAUAACGGAACAAAAUGAGAGAAAACACACUGAAAAGGAUUAUUAUUCCUUUUUUGAAAAGAGACUCCACUAAUCUGGUAUUCAUGGAAAAGCCCACAAGAAUAUGGAUGAUAACUGAUGCAAGUUUGGCUCCCAGUUUCCUUUACAUAUGUACACUAUUUAUACAGAAGAAAAGAAAAUGCCAUGUCAGUUGCACAGUAUUCUGGAAAGUACCUUAAGAAUCAUAUGAUUAGGGCGAGAAGGAUAUGCAAACCAGACAUCAUCAAGCUCAACUUCCCCAUCUUGCUCACUAAAAAAAUGGAAUUGUCAAUAAUUAAAGGUAAUGCAAACUGCUAUUGAAUAAGUAGAACCACUCUAGAAAACUGAUAGACAAGGAAACUAACUUUGUUGGACAUUGAUCCCCAGAGUUUGGCAUUGAGGAAACACGGUCCAGAAGUUGAAAAACUCUACGGCUUGCACCAGAGGCUUUCAUUACAGUCGUGUACAGUCCUGACAGGGCAGAUACUGACGAACCAACUGUAUACACACAAGUAAUUUGAAUUGUUUGAAAAUAUCAAUAAACCAUAGAUGAUACAUGUAAAACUAAAUGUGCCACCCUGUGUACAUGAUGAUUAUCAUGGUUUUUAAAUUUACAUAGAUAAAAUCAAGCAUGAUGCUUGGUUCAGUAUAAAUACUGUUAACGCGAAAAGUACCUGUAAGGCUGUAUAAGAUGAACGAUGUGAGAGAACCAGUUGUCAUGUAACCAUUGAUGGUUAAGUUGGCACCAUAAAUAACAACAAUAACCACUGACAGGGUUGAUGCUGCAUUAAGCCCUCCAGAAAACAAGCCAACGACUUUCUAUAAAAAAAUGCAUCAAAUCAGACCAUUAAAUUGUGGAAUACGGUGCUAGAUUACAUGAACGGUAGGGCACUCACAGCUUGCUUGAGACCAAGUUUAAGCGUCUCCUCUACUUUUUCGCCAUAUCGUGAAAUCUCGUGAGAUUCCUGAGCAAAGGAUCUUACUGUGCGAAUGGCACCAAAGGAUUCCUGAAUGGUAGUAGAUAGACUUAUCAAGGCAUAAAUACAAAGAAACAACAAUUCUGCUAUAUGCUUGCAAUUAGAAGUGAAAACACCAAUUUGCUUUUUUUGUGACAAUACCCAAACAAAGGGUUCGAGAAAAUCUCACAUGCCCAUUAACAAAUCACAAGCUACAAGAUGCUCUGGUAUACGAACCUCUGCUAUGGAUGAAGCUACAGCUGCAGCAGCUUGUGUUUGAUGUGAAAGCUCACGAAGAAAUCGUCCAAAACUACGCACAGCAACUGAUAUAACCGGGACAAUUACAAGUGCCAGCACUGAGCAGAUAGUAAUCAAUGAGAUUUCCUUGAUCAAAUACAGUGGGUUUAACAAAACUAAAGAAAAUGCACAAAGAAAUGCUGAUGAUUUGAUGGUAUCACACGCCCAGUCAAUGUCCUUUCUGAAGUUCAGCUAAGCAUAUAAAGCUUCUGUACACAAUAGGCCUCCCAACAACAAAAAGCCAAUGAUUUCUAUAUAUAGAGUACAAGCAUAUUACUUACAUGUUAACUUCCACGAAGUUGAAAACAUAAAACCAAGACCAAUAGCUGUAGUAGUGAUAUUGCGCAGUGCCUCUGAUAAGUUGGUUGUAGCAGCAUUCUUGAUUAUCUGUGUAUCUUCAGAAAGCCUGCUUAAGAGCUCUCCUGUCCUAGUCACAUCAAAAAAUGCUAUUUCCUGUGGUGGCAUAAGAUAAGUAUUAAGAGUAUGAACGUUGCUGUGGGCAGGACAGUAAGUGCUAAAUUUUGGACAGAACAAACUUCCUUGCCUGGUUUAUGAGAUGACUGAACAAGUCCUUCCUAAGUCGAGCGACUACUCUCUCACUAGCAGAAUUAAAUAACCAUGCCCGAAGUGCCGUGCAAACUGAACUGAAACAAGGCAAGAGAUGGUUUUUAACAAUUCAAGGCAUCCAACAAAAAGUUAAGUCGGUAUACUACACAUAAGCAUAACUCUCUUUUUUCUAAAUGAGAGUGUAUUUAGCAAAUACAGUUUAAUUAGUACAAAGUAAGAUUGCAGCAUAACUCGAUCCACUAAACAUAAUGUGAACAGAUAGAAGCUCGUAAAGUUGCAGUACAGAACAAUUCUGAUGAUUUUUAAAGUCAAGUUUUGAAGAAAGAAGAUACCCGACUACAACGAUCAACACAAUGUACAAAAUUGUGCCCUUAACAUCCUCCAGCGCUUGAGCCUUAUCUUCUGGGCGCCGAACAUCUCUUGACACAAUGUCAAUUAUUUUGCCACCGUAUUUCGGCUGCAGGACACCACAAGACAAUCCAUCCAUUACAACAUGGAAAGAAACAUUUGACGACCACGUUCUUUAAGAUAGUACUUGCACUGAACGCCAUUAUAUUCUACUCAUCACUGAACACUGAUUCAUACUAGAUAUCUACAGGAUCAACAUAUGUCAAUUCAGUCAAGAUUGUGGUACUAGCUUAAUUUAAACCAACAUACAUGCUAGUUGCUAACAAAAUAACCAGAGCUCUGCACGCAGUGCUCAGCCUUCAUGAAGACAGGAGCAGCUUAACAAUGAAAUUCAGCAGAUAUCCUUGUUUCAAAAAUAUAAUGAAAAAACUAUCAGCACCAAUAUUUUUUAAACAUGUGGCAGGUACCUACAACGAGAAUGUUGCUGAGGGAGGCGACGAGCAGUGCGAUGGUGGCGAGCACCAGCUUCCCGGCGUCAUGCCUGGCCUGCAAACCCGUGCUCACACGUUCAGCAUAACUAACAUCACCACAAGACAAGAGACAGUUAAAAAGUCGAAGACAGCAGCGCUCACUCACCAACUUGAUGACCCGGCAGAACCCGACGUUCGCUGGCUGAGACGAUUCCAAAUCGACGAUGAAAAAAGGAGCAGCGAGAGAAAGGGGAGGAUUAAUUAGCUAGCCGGCGGUAGUAUAUCUGGACUGAAUUGUGCAUGCGGGUGAAUAAAGGAGAGGAUGCAGAGUGGGUUUGGGCGCCGAACCUGGACGUUGCUGCCUUCCUCCAGGUCGGAGAGCGCCCUCGACGUCUCCUGCACGCACCAACGCACGCAAUCAGAAACCAAAUUCGAAUAGGAGAAGCCGCGGCCGCGAGGCACGGAGAGAAGAGAGAAGAGAGGAGAGGUUGCGGUGCGCCGACCCCGUUGCCGAGGAGGGGGAUGCGGUUGGGCUUGGGCGCCGUCUUGAUGCGCAUGUUCUUCCCCAUCGCCGCAGCUCCCCUCGGUCCGCGCGCGGAAGGGAGGCGAGGCGAGGCAGCCAACGAAUGGGGUUGGGGGAGUGAGGCGAGCCGCGGGAGGGAGACGAGACGAGUCGGACGAGAGGACCUGCUUUUGUUGAUGCGUAGCGCCUUACCGUGCCGCGCCGCGCCGCGGGGCGGUUGGCUGGUACCUGGUGGCUGCUGAUCACAUGGCGCGUACGGCCAAGGCCAACGAACGAGACAGGCGCUAAAGUCCCCGACCCGAUAGCAGCAGUCUAGGACUACGUGCGCGAUCCGGCGUGUCACCCCCUCCAAGAGUCCAAGCCCUUAUUUUGUUCACCCCCAACUCUUAAUUUUGACACUAUGCAAAAAGAAGAUUUCCCAUCAUAUCAAACUUGCGGUACAUGUAUGGAGUGCUAAAUAUAGAUGAAAUUAAAAACUAAUUGCACAGUUUUGUUGUACUUUGCGAGACGAAUCUUUUGAGCCUAAUUAGUCAAUGUUUGGACAAUAAUUCACAAAUACAAACGAAACGCUACAGUGUGCUACAGUGCUGUAACGGUAAUUUGACGCCUCCAAACUUUGGCAACUAAACAAGAUCCAAAGUGCGUGUCCAGUGGGGAAUUCAGGUUUAAGGAUUGAAUUUGACUGCUUGAUUAAUCGGGGAUCCGCGGCUUGAUCAUUGGCGUCAAGAUUGCCCUUUGAUGCAUUUUUUUAGCGGAGUACAGAUAGGCGCACGUUACACUUACACUACGAUUACCCUGCUAAUCUCCAUGAUGCACUUGUGCUUUUUAUCCUAAUAGCUAAUAUUAAUAUAACACUCUCAUCUUCAUGACGCUAGGCAAUUUCUUUUUAAGAGCGUCUCCAGCUGAUUGAUCUCCCCCUUUCACCUUUAUCCUCUUAUAGGUGAAUUCCCUUUUAUAAUUUUUAGAUUUUGAAGAUAGAUGCUAUAGCAGAUCCACUGCCCCUUUCCCUAUUUCUUUCCACUGACAUGUGGAGCCCACCUGUCAGUGACCAAAUCAACCUUCUUCCUUCUUCCCUGUUCUCUUCUUCCCUCUCCCUCCUCUCGCUUGCCUCUCCACCCAUAGCAGGGGGCGGCGGCGCCGGGCGCGCUCGCGUGCGCGUCCCAUGGCAAGGUGGCGACGCCCAACCUCGCAUUGAAGACCGGCGGUGGGGUGGAUAGGCUCGAGGAUGGCCGGUGGGGUGGAUUGGCUGGUGACGGCAGCGCUCAUGGAGGGUGAGGGCAGCUGGUGGCGCACAUGGCAGGGGCGCCCAGCGGCGCACAUGGAGGGCGAGGGUGCUCGGCGCCCGAUGGCCAUGGCACGGAGGGUGAGGGCAGCCGACGUCGGCAGCCAUGCCGUGGAGGACCGAGGGCGGCCGGCGUCGGUGGCCAUGGCGUGGGUGGUCGGUGGGGAGCGCAUAAGGAGUGGCUGGUGGUGCUCGCGCACAGCGGGGCAAGGCGCGGGUGAAUCAGGCGGCUAGGCUUUCUUGCAGCUCGGAGAUCUUCUGGUUGGAGAGGAGAAGGGAGAAAGAGAGAUGGAUGAAUUCAUCUAUGUAAAGGGGAGAUGGAGGGGGAUAAAGGGGAUUGAGAAAAAAAUAAAGGGGAAAGAAGAUCUGCUAGGACACGUUUUUCUCCUCCUAAAUCCCCUUUACGGCUAAAAAGAGUAAAGGGGAUAUGUUGUAGAUGCUCUAAAAACCUGGAAUCCUGGAUAUAUGGUGGAUACUAUGACAUGCAACACACUCACAAUCACAUGCACAAUUUCUAUCUUGAAGGAUACCUAAUUAGGUAGUAGCACUAUAUAUUCAUCGCUUGGCCCGUCCUCUCCACCCUAAUUUUGAUGAUUGGCAAUUGGCAUCUGCAUUCGGUAUUGCGUGUGCUUAGUGUUAGGGGGUGUUUGGAAGACAGGGGCUAAACUUUAGUCCCUGUCACAUUGAAUGUUUGGAUACUAUGUAGAAGUAUUAAACAUAGGUUAAUUACAAAACUAAUUGCACAACCUCUAUGCUAAAUCGCAAGACGAAUCUAUUAAGCCUAAUUAGUCCAUGAUUUGAUAAUGUGGUGCUUCAGUAACCAUUCGCUAAUGAUGGAUUAAUUAGGCUUAAUAGAUUCGUCUCCUGAUUUAGCCUAGAAAUUCUGCUAUUAAUUUUGUAAUUAGCUCAUAUUUAAUCCUCCUAAUUAGCAUCCGAACAUCCGAUAUGACAGGGUUAAAGUUUAACCCUGGUAUCCAAACACCCCCUUAGUCGCCACUGCCACCGUGGUUUAGCCCUUGUUCACUUCCCACCAAACUCCCAACUUUUGCACUAUGCAAAAAGAAGAUUCCCCAUCACAUCAAACUUGCGGUACAUGUAUGGAGUACUAAAUGUAGACGAAAUCAAAAACUAAUUGCACAGUUUUGUUGUACUUUGCGAGACGAAUCUUUUGAGCCUAAUUAGUCAAUAUUUGGACAAUAAUUCACAAAUACAAACGAAACGCUACAGUGUUGCUACAGUAAUUUGGCACCUCCCAAAUUCCCCAAGUGAACAAGGGCUUAGUGGGAUGCGGCAUCAGAUCCCAGGCUGUCACAUCUAGUAGCUUUCAGCUGUACCCGCUUUAUUUUUGGUUGUUUCCGGGCAAAGACCAGCCAACCUGUGCUGGUUUUCGUUUCGGAGCGUCAGCUUGGUAGCGAGUACUAUGAUUUUUUUGUGUACGUGGAACGUGUUUGGCUCUCAAAAACGUGGAGUACUUGGCAAGUCUAGAUGGAUGGUCAGUAUACAAACAAGCUGAAUAUUUAUCGAUGUUCCCGGCCGGCCCCAACUGGGGCAGGCGGCGUGAGCGUCCAUCAACAAGGACCAACGCCGUUCACAUGUGCGGCUACAAGGAACUGGCACUUGUGACGACGAGAAGCGUGCCGUAAAAUGACCAAAAGGCAGCAAACAUCACGCCUUCCAGUAUUUUGAAGAGUCUGACAUAACGCCAUAACGGAUGAGGGUAACAGCUAAAAAAGAUGUACGGACCGAAAAAAAAAAACUUGUCCGGCCGUCUCCAACCAUCGAACACAGCUGUCAAACACAGAAUUUGCUGUUUAUUUCUACCUAUCAAUUAUUUCUAUUUAUUUGGAUGGAUGAUAAUUGCCAUGUCGAAGUCCCAGAAACAAGGUGCAGAUCGGCACCGCAAAAUUUGAUUAGCCAAAAUCGAUGCAGUCUCUACAUACAUCGACCACUGAAACACCUAGAGGGUAUUAACACGAGUCAAAAAUUUCCAUUUUCCAGAAGAGAAUUCACAGCUUCCAGUCACCAAGCGUCCACAAAAUUCAACGGCAGGCGCCAUUUGCGU
Molecule: long non-coding RNA, 29624 nt
Filed under: Setaria viridis
Lineage: Eukaryota; Viridiplantae; Streptophyta; Magnoliopsida; Poales; Poaceae
Description: long non-coding RNA (SVIR_LNC010114)
Source: RNAcentral